CUCGGCGUGGUCGAGGUGCACGGCGACGCGUGCCUCGGCCGCACGGGCCGCGGCCAACGCGGCGCCGCCGAUCGGGGCCAGUGCCCCGUGG
Molecule: transfer RNA, 91 nt
Filed under: Amycolatopsis sp. NBRC 101858
Lineage: Bacteria; Bacillati; Actinomycetota; Actinomycetes; Pseudonocardiales; Pseudonocardiaceae
Description: tRNA-Pro
Source: RNAcentral